This 490-nucleotide ribosomal RNA is filed under the name uncultured bacterium. RNAcentral describes it as "partial 16S ribosomal RNA". It matches the Rfam family "Bacterial small subunit ribosomal RNA", at positions 28 to 507 of the family's 1533-position model. The record is from RNAcentral.
GAUGAACGCUAGCGAUAGGCUUAACACAUGCAAGUCGAGGGGCAGCAUGGUCUUAUCUUGCUAAGACUGAUGGCGACCGGCGCACGGGUGCGUAACGCGUAUGCAACUUGCCUCACAGAGGGGGAUAACCCGUCGAAAGACGGACUAAUACCGCGUACACUUGGGAUAGGGCAUCCUGACCCAAGGAAAUGAAAUUCGCUGUGAGAUAGGCAUGCGUCCCAUUAGCUAGUUGGUGAGGUAACGGCUCACCAAGGCGACGAUGGGUAGGGGAACUGUGAGGGUGAACCCCCACACUGGUACUGAGACACGGACCAGAAUCCUACGGGAGGCAGCAGUGAGGAAUAUUGAUCAAUGGGCGAGAGCCUGAACCAGCCAAGUCGCGUGAAGGAUGACUGUCUUAGGGAUUGUAAACUUCUUUUAUACGGGAAUAACAAGAGUCACGUGUGGCUCCCUGAAUGUACCGUAUGAAUAAGCAUCGGCUAACUCCGUG